Molecule: transfer RNA, 95 nt
Organism: Neolentinus lepideus HHB14362 ss-1
Lineage: Eukaryota; Fungi; Basidiomycota; Agaricomycetes; Gloeophyllales; Gloeophyllaceae
Rfam family: tRNA
About the family: Transfer RNA (tRNA) molecules are approximately 80 nucleotides in length. Their secondary structure includes four short double-helical elements and three loops (D, anti-codon, and T loops). Further hydrogen bonds mediate the characteristic L-shaped molecular structure. tRNAs have two regions of fundamental functional importance: the anti-codon, which is responsible for specific mRNA codon recognition, and the 3' end, to which the tRNAs corresponding amino acid is attached (by aminoacyl-tRNA synthetases). tRNAs cope with the degeneracy of the genetic code in two manners: having more than one tRNA (with a specific anti-codon) for a particular amino acid; and 'wobble' base-pairing, i.e. permitting non-standard base-pairing at the 3rd anti-codon position.
Source: Rfam
GGCGCUGUGGCCGAGUGGUUAAGGCGACAGAUUAGAACUACAGGUUAUUUAUCUGUUCCGCGUUGCGGGCGCAGGUUCAAGUCCUGCCGGCGUCG